This 205-nucleotide non-coding RNA is filed under the name Kryptoperidinium foliaceum. Lineage: Eukaryota; Dinophyceae; Peridiniales; Kryptoperidiniaceae. The record is from RNAcentral.
ACAUGGCUGCGAUGGAGGCCCAGCCGACGUACACAGUGCCCGCCCUGAGAUACCUCGUGCGGAUCACCGACGGCCCCAACGAGGAGACCUUCAAGAUCUGCGUCGAGUUCUGGCAGACCUUCAGCGCCAGGAUCUUCCUCGAGAUCCAGCAGCGCCGCGCGCAGCCCGUGGAGGCCGCGAGCGGGGGCGGAUCGCCCCUGCUGCU